CGUUCCCGGGUCUUGUACACACCGCCCGUCACACCACGAAAAGUCGGCAACACCCGAAGCCGGUGGCCUAACCCGCAAGGGAGGGAGCCGUCGAAGGUGGGGCUGGCGAUUGGGGUG
Molecule: ribosomal RNA, 117 nt
Filed under: uncultured bacterium
Lineage: Bacteria
Description: partial 16S ribosomal RNA
Rfam family: Bacterial small subunit ribosomal RNA
Source: RNAcentral